ACCGGCUGAUGACGACUUGUGUAUAAAUCCACUCGCUGGAGUAGACAGGUCUGAUGCUUGCUGGN
Ophiophagus hannah (king cobra) is the source of this 65-nucleotide regulatory RNA element. It matches the Rfam family "Selenocysteine insertion sequence 1". From Rfam's summary of the family: The incorporation of selenocysteine into a protein sequence is directed by an in-frame UGA codon (usually a stop codon) within the coding region of the mRNA. Selenoprotein mRNAs contain a conserved secondary structure in the 3' UTR that is required for the distinction of UGA stop from UGA selenocysteine. The selenocysteine insertion sequence (SECIS) is around 60 nt in length and adopts a hairpin structure which is sufficiently well-defined and conserved to act as a computational screen for selenoprotein genes. The record is from Rfam. Lineage: Eukaryota; Metazoa; Chordata; Lepidosauria; Squamata; Elapidae.